This 497-nucleotide ribosomal RNA is filed under the name uncultured bacterium. RNAcentral's name for it is "partial 16S ribosomal RNA". It matches the Rfam family "Bacterial small subunit ribosomal RNA", at positions 28 to 507 of the family's 1533-position model. The record is from RNAcentral.
GAUGAACGCUGGCGGCGUGCCUAAUACAUGCAAGUCGAGCGAACGGACGAGAAGCUUGCUCCUCUGACGUUAGCGGCGGACGGGUGAGUAACACGUGGAUAACCUACCUAUAAGACUGGGAUAACUUCGGGAAACCGGAGCUAAUACCGGAUAAUAUUUUGAACCGCAUGGUUCAAAAGUGAAAGACGGUUUUGCUGUCACUUAUAGAUGGAUCCGCGCUGCAUUAGCUAGUUGGUAAGGUAACGGCUUACCAAGGCAACGAUGCAUACCCGACCUGAGAGGGUGAUCGGCCACACUGGAACUGAGACACGGUCCAGACUCCUACGGGAGGCAGCAGUAGGGAAUCUUCCGCAAUGGGCGAAAGCCUGACGGAGCAACGCCGCGUGAGUGAUGAAGGUCUUCGGAUCGUAAAACUCUGUUAUUAGGGAAGAACAAAUGUGUAAGUAACUAUGCACGUCUUGACGGUACCUAAUCAGAAAGCCACGGCUAACUACGUG